GGGCUACCCGCUGAGUUUAAGCAUAUCAAUAAGCGGAGGAA
RNAcentral lists this ribosomal RNA (41 nucleotides) under Nanocnide japonica. RNAcentral's name for it is "partial 28S rRNA". Lineage: Eukaryota; Viridiplantae; Streptophyta; Magnoliopsida; Rosales; Urticaceae. The record is from RNAcentral.